GAUGAACGCUGGCGGCGUGCCUAAUACAUGCAAGUCGAGCGAACGGACGAGAAGCUUGCUUCUCUGAUGUUAGCGGCGGACGGGCGAGUAACACGUGGAUAACCUACCUAUAAGACUGGGAUAACUUCGGGAAACCGUAGCUAAUACCGGAUAAUAUUUUGAACCGCAUGGUUCAAAAGUGAAAGACGGUCUUGCUGUCACUUAUAGAUGGAUCCGCGCUGCAUUAGCUAGUUGGUAAGGUAACGGCUUACCAAGGCAACGAUGCAUAGCCGACCUGAGAGGGUGAUCGGCCACACUGGAACUGAGACACGGUCCAGACUCCUACGGGAGGCAGCAGUAGGGAAUCUUCCGCAAUGGGCGAAAGCCUGACGGAGCAACGCCGCGUGAGUGAUGAAGGUCUUCGGAUCGUAAAACUCUGUUAUUAGGGAAGAACAUAUGUGUAAGUAACUGUGCACAUCUUGACGGUACCUAAUCAGAAAGCCACGGCUAACUACGUA
Molecule: ribosomal RNA, 497 nt
Filed under: uncultured bacterium
Lineage: Bacteria
Description: partial 16S ribosomal RNA
Rfam family: Bacterial small subunit ribosomal RNA
Source: RNAcentral